Long non-coding RNA from Bombyx mori (domestic silkworm), 953 nucleotides. RefSeq lists it as uncharacterized. Lineage: Eukaryota; Metazoa; Arthropoda; Insecta; Lepidoptera; Bombycidae. The record is from RefSeq and is a predicted model, not a curated record. The transcript has 5 exons.
GUGUUUCCGUGCGGGCCGCGCCAUCCACACGUUUACCAGAGCGUCCAUGUUUGCAUAGAUCGCACACGUCGCACACCCACUUUUGCGUCGGAUCGUCGCCAUUUAAAACCACUUAACGACAAAUGAGACUAAAUAUUGACAGCGUACAACAUAAAAACAAAAGGGACCGCCGCAGGGGGCGGCGCGGUGUCAGUCCUAAGGACAAACAAACACGACGACGCUGUUUGACGAACGAAUUACGUGACAAGUUUAGUUCGGAUGUUUACAGCGUUUUCGAUUUGGGAUUUCCCAGGGAUGGCGGAAAAAAAAUUUUAGGGCCGAAAUCUGUCGGCGGAUGCAGUAGGCAGCUGUGACGUCAGCCAGGGUUGCUCCGAGACGAGAUCCGAUAUUUGUUGUUAACAAUAAUUUGUUAUAUGAUACCGUGGAUUUGGAGGGGUAUGUGCCGAUAUUCUUUCGCAAGAAACACGCAUUCCCGUUUGAAGGGCUGGACAGACGCUAAUAGGUCACUAAUAGCCACUUCACACCAGGUGGGUCGUGAGCUCGUUCACUCAUACAGGUACCAAUGACCUUCCCCGCUUCAGCCGCGAAGUAGUUACGCGUUUGCAUUUUGAUGGCAGUGAGUUUGAUAACCAAGCGAUAGGUGGUAAGAUUGUCAACUCAUCUAGAUCAGAUUGAUGGACACACUGCUGGACACGGACACUCAAAUUUCACCCAGUGCGGAAUGACUGUUAGAGCUCCUAGAUAUCACGACGCGGAUGAUUCACCUAGAGGAUAGGUACCGACGUACCUAAAAGCAGCCAUGAUUAACCAGUUGAAGAUAAAUAUUCGAGAAGAAAUGGCAGCUAUUCCACGCGCAACGUGUCGGGGAGUUCUUACCAAAUUGAAGUUCAGAUUCGAGGAAUGUUUGCAGCGUGAUGAUGCACACCUGAAUGAUGUAGUUCAUAAGAAAUAAA